CUACGUGCCAGCAGCCGCGGUAAUACGGAGGGUGCGAGCGUUAAUCGGAAUAACUGGGCGUAAAGGGCACGCAGGCGGUGACUUAAGUGAGGUGUGAAAGCCCCGGGCUUAACCUGGGAAUUGCAUUUCAUACUGGGUCGCUAGAGUACUUUAGGGAGGGGUAGAAUUCCACGUGUAGCGGUGAAAUGCGUAGAGAUGUGGAGGAACACCGGUGGCGAAAGCGGCUCUCUGGCUUGUAACUGACGCUGAGGCUCGAAAGCGUGGGGAGCAAACAGGAUUAGAUACCCUGGUAGUCCACGCUGUAAACGCUGUCGAUUUGGGGAUUGGGCUUAAAGCUUGGUGCCCGUAGCUAACGUGAUAAAUCGACCGCCUGGGGAGUACGGCCGCAAGGUUAAAACUCAAAUGAAUUGACGGGGGCCCGCACAAGCGGUGGAGCAUGUGGUUUAAUUCGAUGCAACGCGAAGAACCUUACCUACUCUUGACAUCCAUGGAAUCCUGUAGAGAUACGGGAGUGCUUCGGGA
Molecule: ribosomal RNA, 522 nt
Filed under: uncultured bacterium
Lineage: Bacteria
Description: bacterial SSU rRNA
Rfam family: Bacterial small subunit ribosomal RNA
Source: RNAcentral